Molecule: ribosomal RNA, 253 nt
Filed under: uncultured bacterium
Lineage: Bacteria
Description: partial 16S ribosomal RNA
Rfam family: Bacterial small subunit ribosomal RNA
Source: RNAcentral
UACGUAGGGCGCAAGCGUUGUCCGGAAUUAUUGGGCGUAAAGAGCUCGUAGGCGGUUUGUCGCGUCUGCCGUGAAAGUCCGGGGCUCAACUCCGGAUCUGCGGUGGGUACGGGCAGACUAGAGUGAUGUAGGGGAGACUGGAAUUCCUGGUGUAGCGGUGGAAUGCGCAGAUAUCAGGAGGAACACCGGUGGCGAAGGCGGGUCUCUGGGCCGAUAUUGACGCUGAGGAGCGAAAGCGUGGGGAGCGAACAGG